GUCAAUGGGCGCAAGUCUGAACCAGCCAUGCCGCGUGCAGGAAGAAGGAUCUAUGGUGUGUAAACUGCUUUUGUACGGGAAGAAACUGCGCUACGUGUACCGUCUUGACUGUACCGUGAGAAUAAGGAUCGGCUAACUCCGUGCCAGCAGCCGCGGUAAUACAA
This 164-nucleotide ribosomal RNA is filed under the name uncultured Sphingobacteriaceae bacterium. Its description in RNAcentral is "partial 16S ribosomal RNA". It matches the Rfam family "Bacterial small subunit ribosomal RNA", at positions 367 to 528 of the family's 1533-position model. Lineage: Bacteria; Pseudomonadati; Bacteroidota; Sphingobacteriia; Sphingobacteriales; Sphingobacteriaceae. The record is from RNAcentral.